Molecule: ribosomal RNA, 253 nt
Filed under: uncultured bacterium
Lineage: Bacteria
Description: partial 16S ribosomal RNA
Rfam family: Bacterial small subunit ribosomal RNA
Source: RNAcentral
UACGAAGGGGGCGAGCGUUGUCCGGAAUUAUUGGGCGUAAAGAGCUCGUAGGCGGUUUGUCGCGUCGAAUGUGAAAACCCGGGGCUCAACUCCGGGCCUGCAUUCGAUACGGGCAGACUAGAGUUCGGUAGGGGAGACUGGAAUUCCUGGUGUAGCGGUGAAAUGCGCAGAUAUCAGGAGGAACACCGGUGGCGAAGGCGGGUCUCUGGGCCGAUACUGACGCUGAGGAGCGAAAGCGUGGGGAGCGAACAGG